AGUUCUCUGUGAUGACAAUACCUGAUAGAGGUACUGAUACCUCUAUCAUACCUGAUACCUGAUAGAGAUACU
This is a microRNA precursor of Bos indicus x Bos taurus (hybrid cattle), 72 nucleotides long. The record is from Ensembl. Lineage: Eukaryota; Metazoa; Chordata; Mammalia; Artiodactyla; Bovidae.